RNAcentral lists this ribosomal RNA (495 nucleotides) under uncultured bacterium. Its description in RNAcentral is "partial 16S ribosomal RNA". It matches the Rfam family "Bacterial small subunit ribosomal RNA", at positions 28 to 507 of the family's 1533-position model. The record is from RNAcentral.
GACGAACGCUGGCGGCGUGCCUAAUACAUGCAAGUAGAACGCUGAAGGAGGAGCUUGCUCUUCUGGAUGAGUUGCGAACGGGUGAGUAACGCGUAGGUAACCUGCCUGGUAGUGGGGGAUAACUAUUGGAAACGAUAGCUAAUACCGCAUAAUAACAGUUGUUGCAUGACAACUGUUUGAAAGGUGCAAUUGCAUCACUACCAGAUGGACCUGCGUUGUAUUAGCUAGUUGGUGGGGUAACGGCUCACCAAGGCGACGAUACAUAGCCGACCUGAGAGGGUGAUCGGCCACACUGGGACUGAGACACGGCCCAGACUCCUACGGGAGGCAGCAGUAGGGAAUCUUCGGCAAUGGACGAAAGUCUGACCGAGCAACGCCGCGGGAGUGAAGAAGGGUUUCGGAUCGUAAAGCUCUGUUGUAAGAGAAGAACGAGUGUGAGAGUGGAAAGUUCACACUGUGACGGUAUCUUACCAGAAAGGGACGGCUAACUACGUG